This 539-nucleotide ribosomal RNA is filed under the name uncultured bacterium. RNAcentral's name for it is "bacterial SSU rRNA". It matches the Rfam family "Bacterial small subunit ribosomal RNA", at positions 28 to 593 of the family's 1533-position model. The record is from RNAcentral.
AAUGAACGCUGGCGGCAUGGAUUAGGCAUGCAAGUCGAACGGGUCCCCUCGGGGACUAGUGGCGCAAGGGUGAGUAACACGUGAGCAACCUGCCCCUGAAUCCGGAAUAAACCAGGGAAACUUGGCCUAAAACCGGAUGUUGGCCUUUGUCCGCAUGGACUUUGGCCGAAAUAUUCAUAGUUCGGGGAUGGGCUCGCGUCCCAUUAUGCUUGUUGGCGGGGUAACGGCCCACCAAGGCUACGACGGGUAGGUGGUCUGAGAGGAUGGUCACCCACACUGGGACUGAGACACUGCCCAGACUCCUACGGGAGGCUGCAGUCGAGAAUCUUCCGCAAUGGGCGCAAGCCUGACGGAGCAAUGCCGCGUGAGGGACGAAGGCCUUCGGGUUGUAAACCUCUGUCAUCCGGGACGAAACCAAUGACGGUACCGGAAAAGGAAGCCACGGCUAACCACGUGCCAGCAGCCGCGGUAACACGUGGGUGGCGAGCGUUAUUCGGAUUUACUGGCGUAAAGGUCCGCAGGGGCCUGCCACGCCCGCC